GAUGAACGCUAGCUACAGGCUUAACACAUGCAAGUCGCGGGGCAGCAUGGGGGUUGCUUGCAAUCCCCGAUGGCGACCGGCGCACGGGUGAGUAACGCGUAUCCAACCUGCCCUUCACCACGGGAUAACCCGGCGAAAGUCGGACUAAUACCGUAUGUUGUCCAUUGACGGCAUCCGAUUUGGGCGAAAGGUUUGGCGGUGAAGGAUGGGGAUGCGUCCGAUUAGCUGGACGGCGGGGUGACGGCCCACCGUGGCGACGAUCGGUAGGGGUUCUGAGAGGAAGGUCCCCCACACUGGAACUGGGACACGGUCCAGACUCCUACGGGAGGCAGCAGUGAGGAAUAUUGGUCAAUGGGCGUAAGCCUGAACCAGCCAAGUAGCGUGCAGGAUGACGGCCCUAUGGGUUGUAAACUGCUUUUAUGCGGGGAUAAAGUGGCCCACGUGUGGGUUUUUGCAGGUACCGCAUGAAUAAGGACCGGCUAAUUCCGUG
This 490-nucleotide ribosomal RNA is filed under the name uncultured bacterium. Its description in RNAcentral is "partial 16S ribosomal RNA". It matches the Rfam family "Bacterial small subunit ribosomal RNA", at positions 28 to 507 of the family's 1533-position model. The record is from RNAcentral.